GAAAUGCGAAACGUAAUGUGAAUUGCAGAAUUCCGUGAAUCAUCAAAUCUUUGAACGCAUAUUGCGCUUUCGGGAAUUCCUGGAAGCAUGCUUGUUUGAGUGUCAGUAUCAACCUCAUAUACUUGUAUAUGGAAUUGAGCCUUUUUUGGCGACUAGUUUUGUCUCCGAAUGGCUUUAAAUUUAGAGAGAAGAAGCAAAGAAAUACUUACGGCUUUGAAAUAUCUAUUGACUUGCAAGGUCUCUUUUUAUUGAAAAAGCUCUUUCUUGUUUUUUUUUUAAAACACCUUUUCUUUUUUGCAUUCGUGUACAAAAAGGAAAGAAAAACUGUUGGGCUUUUUUAAAGUUCAACGAAACUUUGACCUCAAAUCAAGUAAGACUACCCGCUGAACUUAA
RNAcentral lists this unclassified non-coding RNA (393 nucleotides) under uncultured fungus. RNAcentral describes it as "sequence contains ITS1". The stretch from base 1 to 105 matches the Rfam family "5.8S ribosomal RNA", at positions 50 to 154 of the family's 154-position model. The record is from RNAcentral. Lineage: Eukaryota; Fungi.